Long non-coding RNA from Mercenaria mercenaria, 407 nucleotides. RefSeq lists it as uncharacterized. Lineage: Eukaryota; Metazoa; Mollusca; Bivalvia; Venerida; Veneridae. The record is from RefSeq and is a predicted model, not a curated record. The transcript is spliced from 2 exons.
UCAAAUAAAUACGUAUGUUUUUAUUAUCAGAACCAAGUAUAAAUUAACAAGUAAUACUUUAAAAAAUCUUUAUUUGAUUUUUGUUUUUGUAUUUAUACUUGUAGGGACAGCUGAUUGCAGAAUUAGAGUUUGCAAACAUGCCACAGAAAGGAAUGGCCAGGCUUUUUCGGAUGCUGUUUACUGGUUUGGAAAACAAAGAAAAAUUAAAAUUUCUAGAAGAUUGCGUGCUGGAAAAAUGGCCUGACAUCCAAAGGAGUGGAAUUUGGAGAGUCAUUCGCCAUCUACUGCAGCCAUCCAAAAAUAUGAAAAAAUAAGAUUGCAUUGACAUUCUGAUCCUCUUGUUCAGAUCUUUUGUUUUGUUGUGAAGUGUCAUUGAUUUUUGCAAAAAAUAUAUAUACAUAUAUGAA